RNAcentral lists this ribosomal RNA (1054 nucleotides) under uncultured bacterium. Its description in RNAcentral is "bacterial SSU rRNA". It matches the Rfam family "Bacterial small subunit ribosomal RNA", at positions 336 to 1393 of the family's 1533-position model. The record is from RNAcentral.
CUCCUACGGGAGGCAGCAGUGAGGAAUAUUGGUCAAUGGGCGAGAGCCUGAACCAGCCAAGUAGCGUGAAGGAUGACCGCCCUAUGGGUUGUAAACUUCUUUUAUAUGGGAAUAAAGUUUGCCACGUGUGGCAUUUUGUAUGUACCAUAUGAAUAAGGAUCGGCUAACUCCGUGCCAGCAGCCGCGGUAAUACGGAGGAUCCGAGCGUUAUCCGGAUUUAUUGGGUUUAAAGGGAGCGUAGGUGGACAUGUAAGUCAGUUGUGAAAGUUUGCGGCUCAACCGUAAAAUUGCAGUUGAUACUGCGUGUCUUGAGUACAGUAGAGGUGGGCGGAAUUCGUGGUGUAGCGGUGAAAUGCUUAGAUAUCACGAAGAACUCCGAUUGCGAAGGCAGCUCACUGGACUGCAACUGACACUGAUGCUCGAAAGUGUGGGUAUCAAACAGGAUUAGAUACCCUGGUAGUCCACACAGUAAACGAUGAAUACUCGCUGUUUGCGAUAUACAGUAAGCGGCCAAGCGAAAGCAUUAAGUAUUCCACCUGGGGAGUACGCCGGCAACGGUGAAACUCAAAGGAAUUGACGGGGGCCCGCACAAGCGGAGGAACAUGUGGUUUAAUUCGAUGAUACGCGAGGAACCUUACCCGGGCUUAAAUUGCAGAUGAAUUACGGUGAAAGCCGUAAGCCGCAAGGCAUCUGUGAAGGUGCUGCAUGGUUGUCGUCAGCUCGUGCCGUGAGGUGUCGGCUUAAGUGCCAUAACGAGCGCAACCCUUGUUGUCAGUUACUAACAGGUUCCGCUGAGGACUCUGACAAGACUGCCAUCGUAAGAUGUGAGGAAGGUGGGGAUGACGUCAAAUCAGCACGGCCCUUACGUCCGGGGCUACACACGUGUUACAAUGGGGGGUACAGAGGGCCGCUACCACGCGAGUGGAUGCCAAUCCCCAAAACCUCUCUCAGUUCGGACUGGAGUCUGCAACCCGACUCCACGAAGCUGGAUUCGCUAGUAAUCGCGCAUCAGCCACGGCGCGGUGAAUACGUUCCCGGGCCUUGUACACACCGC